GUAAUAGUUAUGUUCUUGAAACCCAUAGAAUUUGGCGGUAUUUUAUUCUUUUUAGAGGAACCUGUCCUGUAAUCGAUAGUCCACGAGGUUAUUUACUUAUUUUUGUUUUCAGUUUGUAUACCUCCGUCAUAAGAGUAUCUUUUUAGAGAUAAUAUUCUAUUAAUAUUAAAUAUAAUAUGUCAGGUCAAGGUGCAAUUUAUGAAUAAGGAGAGAUGGGUUACAAUAAAUUUAUUUAUAUGGAUUGUAAUAAUUAUUAUUAUAUGAAGGUGGAUUUAAAAGUAAAAUUAAUUUCUUAUUAAUUUGAUUUUAGCUCUAAAAUAUGCACACAUCGCCCG
RNAcentral lists this ribosomal RNA (335 nucleotides) under Somatochlora flavomaculata. Its description in RNAcentral is "partial 12S ribosomal RNA". The record is from RNAcentral. Lineage: Eukaryota; Metazoa; Arthropoda; Insecta; Odonata; Corduliidae.